This 218-nucleotide ribosomal RNA is filed under the name uncultured Enterobacterales bacterium. RNAcentral's name for it is "partial 16S ribosomal RNA". It matches the Rfam family "Bacterial small subunit ribosomal RNA", at positions 114 to 334 of the family's 1533-position model. Lineage: Bacteria; Pseudomonadati; Pseudomonadota; Gammaproteobacteria; Enterobacterales. The record is from RNAcentral.
UGUCUGGGAAACUGCCUGAUGGAGGGGGAGUAACUACUGGAAACGGUAGCUAAUACCGCAUAAUGUCGCAAGACCAAAGUGGGGGACCUUCGGGCCUCAUGCCAUCAGAUGUGCCCAGAUGGGAUUAGCUAGUAGGUGGGGUAAUGGCUCACCUAGGCGACGAUCCCUAGCUGGUCUGAGAGGAUGACCAGCCACACUGGAACUGAGACACGGUCCAG